GAUGAACGCUAGCUACAGGCUUAACACAUGCAAGUCGAGGGGAAACGGCAUUAAGUGCUUGCACUUUUUGGACGUCGACCGGCGCACGGGUGAGUAACGCGUAUCCAACCUUCCCAUGACUAAGGGAUAACCUGCCGAAAGGCAGACUAAUACCUUAUGGUCUUCACUGACGGCAUCAGAUGUGAAGUAAAGAUUUAUCGGUUAUGGAUGGGGAUGCGUCUGAUUAGCUUGUUGGCGGGGUAACGGCCUACCAAGGCAACGAUCAGUAGGGGUUCUGAGAGGAAGGUCCCCCACAUUGGAACGGAGACACGGUCCAAACUCCUACGGGAGGCAGCAGUGAGGAAUAUUGGUCAAGGGGCGAGAGCCUGAACCAGCCAAGUAGCGUGCAGGAUGACGGCCCUAGGGGUUGUAAACUGCUUUUGUAUGGGGAUAAAGUCAAUCACGUGUGAUUGUUUGCAGGUACCAUACGAAUAAGGACCGGCUAAUUCCGUG
RNAcentral lists this ribosomal RNA (492 nucleotides) under uncultured bacterium. RNAcentral's name for it is "partial 16S ribosomal RNA". It matches the Rfam family "Bacterial small subunit ribosomal RNA", at positions 28 to 507 of the family's 1533-position model. The record is from RNAcentral.